This 74-nucleotide transfer RNA is filed under the name Polyrhachis dives. RNAcentral describes it as "tRNA-Pro". Lineage: Eukaryota; Metazoa; Arthropoda; Insecta; Hymenoptera; Formicidae. The record is from RNAcentral.
CAAAAAAUAGUUUAAAUAAAAAGAUAGAAUGUUAAUUUUGGAGAUUAAUGGUAAUAAUGAAAUAUUUUUUUUGA